CUUUUCAUUUCAUUUGCGAAAUAUACACCACGAAGCCCAGAAGGCUAAAGGAAGAAAAGCAAAACCACAAGAACCAAACAAAACAACAAAAGAGAAAAUGUAUGCAUGGAAAGAUGGGAGGCCAAAAAGAGCCCUAGGGAAGCUCUGCUCCUUCCGACCUCGAAUUAUCUGCUUCACUCCUCAUCAAGGACUGUCUCAGAUUUUCAACUUCUUCUUCUAGCUCUCUCUUUUUCAACAGCAUGUCCUUGGACACCCGACGAAGUCACUGGCUUUCAUUCUCCACCUCUCGAUGCCUCUUUCUCAGGACCUCGGAUUCUGCCUCCGC
This 325-nucleotide long non-coding RNA is filed under the name Elaeis guineensis (African oil palm). Its description in RNAcentral is "long non-coding RNA (EGUI_LNC065431)". Lineage: Eukaryota; Viridiplantae; Streptophyta; Magnoliopsida; Arecales; Arecaceae. The record is from RNAcentral.